AAACGCCGAGCACGUCCAAUCGCGCACCCACCCACACACCGUCACAGAUUCGUGAGCAAGGCAAACUACAGAGCAAACGCAGACCAGUCCAAGAGCCGUUGGCACGACAGUGUAACACACACACACACACACACAGAAAGACAGAGGAGCGGCCGCUGGGUUGUUUUCCCACUACUGUAAACUCUGUUUGUCUUUGUGAGUCUUGUGUGUCACAGACGGCUUGACGCACCCGCUCACCAAUCUGCCUGCCUGCUUCUCACUUCCACGACAGUGUGCACACGCACUCCGUCUCCACCCAACUGCUUUGUGUGUCUCUCCUUCUUGCUUUCUGUUUUUGUCCCCCCCUCCUCCCCUGGUGAAGAGUCGCACGCGUUGACCUGUUCCGCUCUCCUCCUCCGACUCGCAACGGACGGCUGCAGCGCAAUUUAUUCGCCUUCACUCUUAACUCCUUUGUUUUGCCUCCCCCCUCACCGACCCCUUAUAUAUACAGAGAGAGAGCACGCGUGAGAACCUCGUCUAUAUCCGUCAAGACGAGGGCGGCGCAGGGCCACGAGUGGACAUUGCCGCACCGUUUUCUGUCCUUCUCUUUCUCCAUGUAGCGGUGUGUGCGCCGAUCCCCGCCCUGAGUCUCUGUCUCGUUCUUCUGCUGGCAGAUAACAAGGAAAGAAGGAAGCUGAAGGAGAGUGCUGCACACGGCACUGCAGCUCUCUCCAGAUCUUCUCUCUCUAUAUUUCGGUUGUCACUGCCGUCACCGUCGCCAUCGCUGUCGCCAUGCUCACCCCGAUCCAUGGCGUGAUGGACUUGUCCUUUGCCCCUGGCAAGGAUCAAGAGCUGUCCGACCUGCCGUUUGAGAGAUCGAUGUUGCAGGAGCUGGCGCCAGAGGAGGUGCGUGAGUUGAACGUGACGCAUGCGCAGAUGCUCAGCCUCACCUCUACCCCUGGCGCCCUUAUCAACGAUGUGCUGCGGUAUGUCACGGUGCUACGCGCGGCGCACAACCAUGUUAGCAGCCUUCACGGCAUCGAGGCAUUUGGCUCGCUUGAGGUGCUCGACCUCAGCCACAACUGCCUCCGGGUCGUGGAUGCACAUGGGGCAUCGCUGCUCAGAACGCUGAAGCAGCUGCGCACGGUGGAUUUUUCGUAUAACAACAUGAACCUGCUCGAUCUGAACGUCUCUGCCGGGGCGCCGUCCUCGCGGCUCUCCGGGCUAAGCGCCGGUGCGACGCCUGCGUUUUCCACGAGCGGCCCCAGUGGUGGCAGCGGGCGCCUGUCCUUCUCCGUUGCCGACCCAUCCGACGGUUUGCUCUCUCUGACUGCUAUAAACCUAUCGCACAACGCGUUUAUAGACCUGCCAGACCUGCGCAGUGCGCCGCACCUGCAGGUGCUGAACAUGGGCCACAACAAGCUGGACGCCCUCGCCGAGCUCGACACUCGCCUGCCGCUUCUCUCACUGCACUCACUCGCGCUGCACUCGAAUCAGCUACGGACCGCUACGGUGCUGCUGCCCUUGUGCGCCCUGGCGGCCACGCUCAAGCACACACAGGUCUUUCGCAACCCAUUCACGCUUGCGCAAAGCCGUCCCAAGACAACCAUUAGAAACACCACCAACAGCAGACGCGCCAACCUGCCGGAGGGUGCGCUGGAUGAGUCGAUGUGGUGGCGCCCCUUCCUGCUGUGGCUCUGCCCACUGCUCGUCACUGUUGACCAGGCGGAGUUUACGGCGAGUGAGCGGCGAGUGGCGGCCAUCAUGCUGUUCCGAGAGAACGGCUCUCUCUCCAAGUCGCGUAUGGAGUACAUGAACCCGCAGCGGAAGGACGACCUGGAGGCGUACCUGCGGCGCAACAGCGAGCUCGCCACUCCCCCGCACGAUGCUAUGGCCAUCAUAGACAACAUCGAGCGACAGGAGGAGAGCCUGCAGGAGUACUCGGGCGUCGCGUGGGACGGUGACGCUGAGGGGGCCGGACAGAUGGUGGUGCCCACCUACCGCAUGAACCCCUCCGGGAUUCGCGGGGAGGCAGCAGCGCCCCGUUCCGCCAACGGCACCCUGAGUACAUCACCGAACACGUACCCUGAUCCUGCACCACUAGAGGUUGUCGGGUCAACCCUUCCAGGGGCGACGCCGAUGGCGCAGUUCUCGCGCGGCGCCGGUGGGGCGGCGAGCCGAUCCUCGUCUGGCGCUCGUGUCGUGGUGGUUGCCCCGGAAGCACUGUUCACCGUGAGCCCUAGCUCCAGCGGCGUGCUAAACACAAACCGCAACCGCCAGCGCGUCCACCCCGCCUCCAUGACGAGCUUCGUCCGGGCGCUGCAGAGGAAGCUGCGGUCAAUAGAGGAGGUGGUGGCGGUGCUGUGGCACGCUGACCUGUCGCGACGCACCAGGGCCGCCAUUGUCAUUCAACGCGUCAUGCGCGGCGCGUUGGCGCGCAUGCACCUAUCCGAGGAGGAUGCGGAGAGCUGUCGCUUCAUUCGAUACCAGCUGCAACAGGCGACUGCCGCCUCGGCUGCGCAGGCGGCGCACGUCGCCAGCGGAGCCGCAGCACAGGCGAGUGGCAGUGGCGCUGGCGGCAAUGACAGUGGUAGUGCGGCAACGAGGGGCGUGAGCCAGCGUCACCCGUCGUUAGAGCCGGUAGCGGACACCGGCUCAAACAUGCAGGAGGUUCUCGUCUCCAUGCGUAGCCUGCAGGAGGUGAUGAGCAACAUGUGGGCCGAUCUUGAGGAGUAUCGCGCGAUGGCGGACCGUGAGCAGCGGCGCGCUGCUGUGCUCAUUCAGCGAUACUACCGCGGCUACCGUGCACGCUGUGAGUACGGGCGGGCUUUAAAGCAUCACCGCUCACUGGCGCCACCUCCGUCGUCGUGCGCCGCCGCAUGCCGGUGCGCUUCGGAAACCGCCUGCCUGCGGAAGGAGGUGAGUGAGCUGCGCAGCGAGGUGAGGGAGCUUCGUGCGCUUCUUCAGCAGACGACGCGCCAGCAGCGACUGGCCGCAUACGACGACCCGGAGCGCGCAAUGGACGAAAUCAUUCGCAAACACGAGCAGCGCAGCAACGCCGAUAUACUCGCUGAGCCAACGUACUGCCCGCGCUCAAACGGCAGCAGCCAAUCUCCCAGCGACAUGCCCAGCCUCAUCGAGCGAGCAGUUGGCGGCAGCGCGUCAGCGGAGAAGGCGGCGGACGACAUCGACCAGGAUCCAUGCCAGCCGAUGACGGACGAUGGCGACGACGACGGCACCGCGAGGACGCUGGAAACAAACGACGGCCAACUUUCGGGAAGCGCAGCGCUGUCACAUAGGGGGCCGGUGACCAUGUCACAAUCCCCCGAGCUGACCUCUCCGCUUGACAGCAUGUAUUCGAGACAACGUGCAUCAAUGCAGACGACGCGCAUCACGAAGUUACGGCCGAACUCGGGGAGCAUAGUAAACGCUAGGCAGAUUGGCAAGGAGUAGGUGAGGCCGGAUGGAUAUCGCAGUCCCCGUCUCCACAAGGAGCGAAAGGAAAGAGCCAGUGCGUUUGGCCGCAUCAUCAUCGCGGCUCGAAAAGCGGGUGGAGACGGACGCAGCGAAGCGACAGGGCCCCAUCCUCUCUCUCUCUCUUUCUCUUUGGCCGUGCGCCACAGAUUUGCUGCAGCUCGUGUUGGCCGUGCUCGAGACGGCGGGCGGCGGGGGCGCGGUGAAUUGAAGGGAAAGCACGGGGCGCACGUCUCUGUGUGUCUGACGGAUGUGUGCACCAUCUCUUAGGCUUCUUUUGCUUUUUUUAAGAUUUCAGUACUGUUGCUCGGCCACGUGUAGGCGUGCCAUCAGGAAGCGGGUCGGAACGUUCGAGGUGCAUCAUCUACACACACACACACAUACACAACGAACGAGCUCUUCACGGCGGCGCCUUUAAGCGUUCUCAUCUUUCUCAUCUAGGCGAUAUGCGAGGCG
This 3909-nucleotide unclassified non-coding RNA is filed under the name Leishmania donovani. Its description in RNAcentral is "gene:LdHU3.28.3770(CDS-product:leucine-rich_repea t_protein_putative)". Lineage: Eukaryota; Euglenozoa; Kinetoplastea; Trypanosomatida; Trypanosomatidae. The record is from RNAcentral.